CUUACACAUGCAAGUCGAACGGAACUUCGGGUUUAGUGGCGGACGGGUGAGUAACGCGUGAGAAUCUGCCUCUAGGUCGGGGACAACAACUGGAAACGGUUGCUAAUACCCGAUGUGCAGCAAUGUGAAAGAUUUAUUGCCUAGAGAUGAGCUCGCGUCUGAUUAGCUAGUAGGUGUGGUAAUGGCGCACCUAGGCGACGAUCAGUAACUGGUCUGAGAGGAUGACCAGUCACACUGGGACUGAGACACGGCCCAGACUCCUACGGGAGGCAGCAGUGGGGAAUUUUCCGCAAUGGGCGAAAGCCUGACGGAGCAAUACCGCGUGAGGGACGAAGGCUUUUGGGUCGUAAACCUCUUUUCCCUGAGAAGAAGAUCUGACGGUAUCAGGGGAAUCAGCAUCGGCUAACUUCGUGCCAGCAGCCGCGGUAAUACGAGGGAUGCAAGCGUUAUCCGGAAUUAUUGGGCGUUAAGCGU
This 474-nucleotide ribosomal RNA is filed under the name uncultured cyanobacterium. RNAcentral describes it as "bacterial SSU rRNA". It matches the Rfam family "Bacterial small subunit ribosomal RNA", at positions 48 to 568 of the family's 1533-position model. Lineage: Bacteria; Bacillati; Cyanobacteriota. The record is from RNAcentral.